Molecule: ribosomal RNA, 503 nt
Filed under: uncultured bacterium
Lineage: Bacteria
Description: partial 16S ribosomal RNA
Rfam family: Bacterial small subunit ribosomal RNA
Source: RNAcentral
AUUGAACGCUGGCGGCAGGCUUAACACAUGCAAGUCGAGCGGGGUGAUGGUGCUUGCACUAUCACUUAGCGGCGGACGGGUGAGUAAUGCUUAGGAAUCUGCCUAUUAGUGGGGGACAACAUCUCGAAAGGGAUGCUAAUACCGCAUACGUCCUACGGGAGAAAGCAGGGGAUCACUUGUGACCUUGCGCUAAUAGAUGAGCCUAAGUCGGAUUAGCUAGUUGGUGGGGUAAAGGCCUACCAAGGCGACGAUCUGUAGCGGGUCUGAGAGGAUGGUCCGCCACACUGGGACUGAGACACGGCCCAGACCCCUACGGGAGGCAGCAGUGGGGAAUAUUGGACAAUGGGGGGAACCCUGAUCCAGCCAUGCCGCGUGUGUGAAGAAGGCCUUAUGGUUGUAAAGCACUUUAAGCGAGGAGGAGGCUCUUUUGGUUAAUACCCAAGAUGCGUGGACGUUACUCGCAGAAUAAGCACCGGCUAACUCUGUGCCAGCCGCCGCCGUAA